CAAGAUGUCGUUUACUUUGUCCUUGCUAACUUUUAACCACAAGUUUUAUUCUAUCCUAAAAAACUGUACGUCUGACUGCCCUGUUCCUCCAAGCACCUUUACACAGCAGUGGCAGCACUGCCACCUUUCAGUCUCCUUGAAGAGUAGAGAAGUGACACAUCACCUGAGGUGCUCUGCCCUUACAGUUGGCCCUCACGCUACUGUCUUCCAGUUACACUAUAGGUAACUGCCAAUUAACCUAUUAAUUCAUUUUACAAAUACAGAAUAAUUUCUUCACCUUCCUGUACUGCUGGAAAGCAUAUAGUGAAGUUGCACAAGAAUCUUGAAGAUAACUUUUGGUCAUAAAAAGUCAGCCACCAAAAUCAAAGUUUUAAACAGCAACACGAGUUGCAAUGAAAGAAAAAGCCUUCUCCAUUCUACAAGAAAACUUUUGGAGGGAAGGGAGGUCUGACAGCCUGGCAGACACCUGAGGGUUGAAGGAGCAGCAGACCACACUCCAGCCUCCCUUUCCCCAGACAAUACUCCAGCUAGUGGGAUGUUGUAGGGAAACAUCAUUUGUUCUCCUUGCCUUUGUCAUCUUUUUCUGCUUCCCUAAGCUAUGAGGGGACAGGAGACUGUCUUUGGGCAAACUGAAAGCUCAGACACUGUUUAAACAAGAAUCAAUAGGUAAGACCAGAAAAGCCAGAAGACUGCCAGAAAGAAAAAAAUGAACCAAAUCAAACUAUAAAACUCAACCCUGGGAGUAAACGGAGGGAGAGGGAAAAUCUUUUGAGACACACCUGACUAGGAGAGGACUUGGAGCUGUGACUGAGGGUGUGGGUGGCUCAUAACCUCCUAUUGUUCCUGUUGUACUCAGGGAAAAUUGGACAAGGCCACAAUGUUAUGUAAUGUCACUUUUAGCGUAUAAUCUUACUGCUUGGCGCAAUUUCACUGAUGGGGGAACACAACACAAGUCUUCAAAUAUAUUAUAGUGUACAGCACAGUCAAAGUGCUCUCAAAAACAGGAUCCCAAAGUACAUCUUUAAUUUUGUUUACAGUGGACUUUUUCUUCUGCACAGCUCUUUAGGACAUCUAUUACUAGUUAUUUCUAUUAUUUGAACUAAAGUAAUCCAAUAGAACAUAUGUGUGCCAUGUAUUGUACAAACACAGCAUGAAGUCAGUCUUCCCUUAAGAAAGCUCACAUUUGUUUAAAGCUAUAUUCUCCACACUUAGAGUGAUCUUUGAAUUGGAGAUUUUUUGGAAAAAAAAGUCCUCCAAAACAAUCUAAAAACAUUUUCACUGAAGACAUCCAGGCCCACAAACUCCAUGCUUGCUUCCAAAACAGCAGUAUUGUCUAUAUAGUACUACCAGACUCCACACAGGGCUGCCACCACUGCACUAUUGCUGUGCAACCCACCGAAAAUAAUACCAAUCUCCAUCCUGCCCUGCAGAACAUAUUUUUCUACCCCUCUGUUGGUCUGGUUCAUGCACCAGCCUCCUCCAGAGGCACAUGAGAGAGCAAAUAAUAAUCUUUUUAAACUCCCAUUUAGAGCCACCUAAGCGUGCUUCUGCUACAGGAACAAAAUUUGCCACCCCAGUCAUUACAGAGAUGCACACUUUUUUCCUCAUGGACAGUGAUGGCAAAGCUCACCAUCAAUGCUUUGGCAGAGCAUAUCCCAGGGGCACACUCAGAUGGUUUGGUUGGGCUUCUAGUGUGGCACAGUGGGGUCCUGGCAGAUGUUGGGCCAUGUGUGGGAAUGGCUCGUCUGUCCUCCUGUCCCCCUCCAGCACAGUGACUUCAGUGAAGGGACAACAGGAUCUGCCCCCAGAAAGUUUGCACUGUCUGGACAUUGGGGAGGUGGAGGGAUCCCCUCGUCAAGCAUUGCUCCCUCAGCCUUUCCUAUCCCAUGACAUCCUCUUCUUUUACUCUGCUUUCUCUCUGCAUGUAGCCCAGAGCCACCCUCAAAAUCAUUGGCAUUAUAAGAAACCACCCACAGUUCAAUACAUCCCUGUAAUACUGCAAAGCCCUUCACUACAGUGAUAACGUAGUCCGCUAUAGUGGACUUCUCUUCAUUAACUUCCUCUGUGUGUUCCCUGAAUGCCUUUUAUUUCCUCUGUUAUUUCUCUCUAGCUCUUUUUUUUUUUUUUUUUCUUACCCCAUCACAUCAUACCCCAUCACCAUUUCUGUGUUCCAGGACUUCUGUACAGUUCAAAAAUUGCCUACACAUAAUUCGUUUAGGUGAAGUAUUUUUAAGGUGCUAAAAUAAUUUAUUAGAAAUGUAGGGGAAAAUAAUCAAGAUAAGUUUACCAGCUGCUCAGGCUUCUCAUCCUUCCAAAUAAUUUCCAGUUAAAAUAUAUAAAUACACUUGGCAGGAAAUUUUCCUUUUAAAAAACUAAUAGCAUUUGGUAGCUUGAAAGUGUCUUUCUACAAGUUGAAGAGGAAGUGCACAUAUGCAAUGAAAUGAUUUUUUGUAAGAAUUAUUUUUGUGCCUAAGGAGAUAUUUACAGGAGUGAUUCUGUGGUCUGAAACCACUUAUAAGCUAUAGUUAAUAUGUAUUUUUGUGCAUGUGUGGAGAGUACUUGAAAAUAUCAACAGAUGAUUUGGAUACAGUGGAAUUUUUUCAGUGACAUUGUUCAUUGUUUCUUCUUCACACGCACACACACACACACACACACACAAAUCAUUAAAGUGUUUUCAAACUUGUCAUUAGAAUUGCUGUCGCUAGGAGCUGAGUGGAGCCAGUAUUCUUGCCCAGGUUUGUUUGGUCUGGCUGAGAGGACAUACAUCUGCGUUGGGCUUGUCUAGUGCAGACAGGGUACUGCAAUGGCUGGCCAACUUGAAGAAAGUCAUUGUAUGUUGUUUCCCUACGUUUAGUAUGAGCAAUGUGUUCCCUUUUGUGAUCUACUGGUGAGGAAGGUAAUGUAGGAGAUGAUGUGUUCUGAUUACUGUGAGACAUUGGCAUUGCAAUAAAUUUUCCCCAUGA
Anas platyrhynchos (mallard) is the source of this 2963-nucleotide non-coding RNA. The record is from RefSeq and is a predicted model, not a curated record. Lineage: Eukaryota; Metazoa; Chordata; Aves; Anseriformes; Anatidae.